UUUGAGUAAUCUGGGUUUUGAGGAGCUAUUUUUGGGUAUUAAUCUUUUGAUUUGUGAGAUAAAAAAUUGAAAAUUGGGAUUGUAAAGCAGAAGUAAUGAGCUCCAAUGGCGGUGGCGACGUCUACAGCAGCAAAAGCUUUUGAUGAUCCGCGAGAGCUAUAAAAUGACUUGCAGUUGGAGAAUUGGAGGCUACGAAUGUCAAGUUUCGAUGGGACUGAAGCCAUUGGAGUGGGUGUCUUAGUCGAAGCGAACCCGUGAUUGGGAGCAGUCGACACAAGACAACAAUAAAAUCAAGAAAGACAACCCGUGAUUGGGAGCAGUCGGCACAAGACAACACUCCAAUAUGCUUGUUUUUUGCUAACCCGUGUUUCUGUCAGCUCCAUGGUUUGUUUUUUGUAACCC
Long non-coding RNA from Camelina sativa (false flax), 402 nucleotides. RefSeq lists it as uncharacterized. The record is from RefSeq and is a predicted model, not a curated record. NCBI's taxonomy places the organism in Eukaryota, Viridiplantae, Streptophyta, Magnoliopsida, Brassicales, Brassicaceae.